RNAcentral lists this ribosomal RNA (245 nucleotides) under uncultured bacterium. RNAcentral's name for it is "partial 16S ribosomal RNA". It matches the Rfam family "Bacterial small subunit ribosomal RNA", at positions 524 to 768 of the family's 1533-position model. The record is from RNAcentral.
AACGUAGGAGGCGAGCGUUAUCCGGAUUUACUGGGUGUAAAGCGCAUGCAGGCGGUUGACUAAGUUGGGUGUGAAAGCUCCUGGCUCAACUGGGAGAGGUCGCUCAAGACUGGUUGACUAGAGGGUGGUAGGGGAAGGCGGAAUUCCGGGUGUAGUGGUGAAAUGCGUAGAUACUCGGAGGAACACCAGUGGCGAAGGCGGCCUUCUGGACCACCCCUGACGCUCAGAUGCGACAGCUAGGGGAG